CGGGUGAGUAACACGUGGGCAAUCUGCCCUUCACUCUGGGACAAGCCCUGGAAACGGGGUCUAAUACCGGAUAACACUCCCCGAGGCAUCUCGGGGGGUUGAAAGCUCCGGCGGUGAAGGAUGAGCCCGCGGCCUAUCAGCUUGUUGGUGAGGUAGAAGCUCACCAAGGCGACGACGGGUAGCCGGCCUGAGAGGGCGACCGGCCACACUGGGACUGAGACACGGCCCAGACUCCUACGGGAGGCAGCAGUGGGGAAUAUUGCACAAUGGGCGAAAGCCUGAUGCAGCGACGCCGCGUGAGGGAUGACGGCCUUCGGGUUGUAAACCUCUUUCAGCAGGGAAGAAGCGAAAGUGACGGUACCUGCAGAAGAAGCGCCGGCUAACUACGUGCCAGCAGCCGCGGUAAUACGUAGGGCGCAAGCGUUGUCCGGAAUUAUUGGGCGUAAAGAGCUCGUAGGCGGUCUGUCACGUCGGAUGUGAAAGCCCGGGGCUUAACCCCGGGUCUGCAUUCGAUACGGGCAGACUAGAGUGUGGUAGGGGAGAUCGGAAUUCCUGGUGUAGCGGUGAAAUGCGCAGAUAUCAGGAGGAACACCGGUGGCGAAGGCGGAUCUCUGGGCCAUUACUGACGCUGAGGAGCGAAAGCGUGGGGAGCGAACAGGAUUAGAUACCCUGGUAGUCCACGCCGUAAACGGUGGGAACUAGGUGUUGGCGACAUUCCACGUCGUCGGUGCCGCAGCUAACGCAUUAAGUUCCCCGCCUGGGGAGUACGGCCGCAAGGCUAAAACUCAAAGGAAUUGACGGGGGCCCGCACAAGCAGCGGAGCAUGUGGCUUAAUUCGACGCAACGCGAAGAACCUUACCAAGGCUUGACAUCGCCCGGAAAGCAUCAGAGAUGGUGCCCCCCUUGUGGUCGGGUGACAGGUGGUGCAUGGCUGUCGUCAGCUCNNGNCGUGAGAUGUUGGGUUAAGUCCCGCAACGAGCGCAACCCUUUGUUCUGGGGUUGCCAGCAUGGCCCUUCCGGGGUGAUGGGGGACUCACAAGGAGACUGGCCGGGGUCAACUCCGGAAGGAAGG
RNAcentral lists this ribosomal RNA (1072 nucleotides) under Streptomyces phaeochromogenes. RNAcentral describes it as "bacterial SSU rRNA". It matches the Rfam family "Bacterial small subunit ribosomal RNA", at positions 103 to 1173 of the family's 1533-position model. Lineage: Bacteria; Bacillati; Actinomycetota; Actinomycetes; Kitasatosporales; Streptomycetaceae. The record is from RNAcentral.